Molecule: ribosomal RNA, 253 nt
Filed under: uncultured bacterium
Lineage: Bacteria
Description: partial 16S ribosomal RNA
Rfam family: Bacterial small subunit ribosomal RNA
Source: RNAcentral
UACGUAGGGUGCGAGCGUUAAUCGGAAUUACUGGGCGUAAAGCGUGCGCAGGCGGUUUUGUAAGUCAGAUGUGAAAUCCCCGGGCUUAACCUGGGAACUGCAUUUGUGACUGCAAGGCUAGAGUACGGCAGAGGGGGGUAGAAUUCCACGUGUAGCAGUGAAAUGCGUAGAUAUGUGGAGGAAUACCGAUGGCGAAGGCAGCCCCCUGGGUCGAUACUGACGCUCAUGCACGAAAGCGUGGGGAGCAAACAGG